UCUGAGUAACAGGUGGUCCAAAAACAUCCCAAAAGCGAAGAGUCUCAUCUGCCCCAGCUGACACCACUGUUAACCCAUCAGGGCUCUGCAAGAAGCCAUUUGAAGCUAUUGUAAUUGAUCAAGCAUACAAAUCUAUCACUUGAGAAAAUACUAAUAAUAAUUCAGACCAUACCUGAGAUACAUGGAGGACUCUAGAAGUGUGUCGAUCCAAGCCGCCGAUUUUGGUCAUCGAUGGAUACCUCCACAAAGAGAGUUGGUUUUGAUCUGCACUUGUACUAAAGCCAUGGCCACUUAAUAUCUCCUUGUGAUGCCUAUUCCAUUCUAAGCCACAAACCUGAAUUGAUCAAUAAGAUGGUUCCUUUUUGCACAUUCCAUAACUUAAUACAUCUGUCAUGGGUGCCACCUCCAGAAGCAAGUACAUCUGAAUCAUAAGGGCACCAAGCAAGGGCCUUCACUGCAGCAGAAUGAUCCUUGAAACAGUUCAAGAAAUUGGAAGAACUCAUCUUUGAUGAGUCCCAUAAAUAAAUAACAUUUUCAUUGCCACCACUUGCCAAUAUGUUCCCCCUGCUUGACCAUUUCAAGCCACAAACUUCUGCUUUGUGUGCUUUUACUCUUGAAAUCACAUUUCUUGCUCUAACUGCUUACAACAACACACCAAAAAGAAAAGAAAUAAGUGGUUGCAACCCUUUGAUCAUGACCUUCCAGGUUUCUUACCUAAGUGUACAUUACAAGAAUCAAGGACUUAAGUACAUCAAGACACUUUGUACACCAAAUAUUAAUAGAGAGGUGCAUUACCAGCUUUGAAGUCUCAGGAUCCCAGAGUUGAAGAUUAGAGUGCAUAAAUCCUAUUGCAAUGUAUCUAGUAUCAUCGGACCAAGCAACACUAGCCGGAUAAUUGUUGUUAGUGACUGUAAACAACUUAAGUACAUUGCUAUUCUGUGAGUUCCAAAGGUACAUUUCUGAGCCUAACGCAACCGCUAGAAUGUUGUUUUUCCCCCAGUCCAGAAGGUUUGUGUAGUAAUCAUUUCUAAUAUUUGGUGCAUCCAAUAUCCUUGAUUCACCCUGCAUUCACAGUAGUUCAGUUUACUCAACCAGAAGAUAAAUCUAGAAAAUGAUGAAGAAAUUGAUGGAUUUGAUUCCAAUUCUAUUUUCUCAAUGUAUGACUCUUAACAACUUUUGCAGGGAUGGGGAUUGUAUACUUCAAGAAGUAUAUAUAAUGACACA
This is a long non-coding RNA of Arachis stenosperma, 1224 nucleotides long. RefSeq lists it as uncharacterized. The transcript has 3 exons. The record is from RefSeq and is a predicted model, not a curated record. Lineage: Eukaryota; Viridiplantae; Streptophyta; Magnoliopsida; Fabales; Fabaceae.